UCCCGGAUAGCUCAGUCGGUAGAGCGGGUGGCUGUUAACCACCAUGCCGCAGGUUCGAGUCCUGCUCCGGGAGCCA
RNAcentral lists this transfer RNA (76 nucleotides) under Nitrospirota bacterium. RNAcentral's name for it is "Nitrospirae bacterium (biofilm metagenome) tRNA-Asn". It matches the Rfam family "tRNA". Rfam says of the family: Transfer RNA (tRNA) molecules are approximately 80 nucleotides in length. Their secondary structure includes four short double-helical elements and three loops (D, anti-codon, and T loops). RNAcentral also lists the same sequence under 1 other name. The record is from RNAcentral. Lineage: Bacteria; Pseudomonadati; Nitrospirota.